Molecule: ribosomal RNA, 490 nt
Filed under: uncultured bacterium
Lineage: Bacteria
Description: bacterial SSU rRNA
Rfam family: Bacterial small subunit ribosomal RNA
Source: RNAcentral
AACGAACGCUGGCGGCGCGCCUAAUACAUGCAAGUCGAGCGAGAAGGUGUAGCAAUACACUUGUAAAGCGGCGAACGGGUGAGGAAUACAUGGGUAAUCUACCAUCGAGUGGGGAAUAACCAACCGAAAGGUUGGCUAAUACCGCGUACGCCUCCGGAUCUUCGGGUUCGGAGGGAAAGCUGCACUGUGAGUGUAGCGCUCUUUGAUGAGCUCAUGUCCUAUCAGCUUGUUGGUAGGGUAACGGCCUACCAAGGCUUUGACGGGUAGCUGGUCUGAGAGGACGAUCAGCCACACUGGCACUGCGACACGGGCCAGACUCCUACGGGAGGCAGCAGUAAGGAAUAUUGCGCAAUGGGCGAAAGCCUGACGCAGCGACGCCGCGUGGGGGAUGAAGGUCUUCGGAUUGUAAACCCCUUUCGGGAGGGAAGAUGGAGCGAGCAAUCGUUCGGACGGUACCUCCAGAAGCAGCCACGGCCAACUUCGUGCCAGC